This 390-nucleotide unclassified non-coding RNA is filed under the name Hevea brasiliensis (rubber tree). The record is from RNAcentral. Lineage: Eukaryota; Viridiplantae; Streptophyta; Magnoliopsida; Malpighiales; Euphorbiaceae.
GGCUCAAGGAGCUCGACUUGAGUGCGAAUGCGAUUAUGAGGGUUGGAGCGAGGUGCUUGGCACAAGCGGUUGGGACAAAUAAGCCUGAUUUUGCGGUUCUGAAUAUUGAUGGCAAUUAUAUAUCAGAGGAGGGGAUUGAUGAGGUGAAGGAGAUACUCAAGGCUGGUGGGGUUGGGGACUCGCUAGGGCCGUUGGAUGACAAUCUUCCUGAUGGUGAAGAGGGCGAUGAGGCUGAGGAUAACGAGGAAGGUGGUGAAGAGGAUGAUGAUGAGUUGGGGUCGAAGCUUCAGCAUCUGACGGUCGACGACUAUGCAAAGGAGUAGGAGGUACGAUUUAGUAACUCUGUUUUUUCUAGUACAAUGUUGUCUUGGUUUAGUCAGUGUAGUAUGG